UACAGAGGGUGCAAGCGUUGUUCGGAUUUACUGGGCGUAAAGGGCGCGUAGGCGGUCAGCACAAGUCAGUUGUGAAAUCUCCGGGCUUAACCCGGAAAGGUCAACUGAUACUGUGCGACUAGAGUGCGGAAGGGGCAACUGGAAUUCUCGGUGUAGCGGUGAAAUGCGUAGAGAUGUGGAGGAACACCGAUGGCGAAGGCAGCCCCCUGGGUCAAGAUUGACGCUCAUGCACGAAAGCGUGGGGAGCAAACAGG
This 254-nucleotide ribosomal RNA is filed under the name uncultured bacterium. Its description in RNAcentral is "partial 16S ribosomal RNA". It matches the Rfam family "Bacterial small subunit ribosomal RNA", at positions 524 to 776 of the family's 1533-position model. The record is from RNAcentral.